GACGAACGCUGGCGGCGUGCUUAACACAUGCAAGUCGAACGCUGAAGCUCUGCUUUUGUUGGGUGGAUGAGUGGCGAACGGGUGAGUAACACGUGAGUAACCUGCCUCCUUCUUUGGGAUAACGCCCGGAAACGGGUGCUAAUACUGGAUAUUCACUGUUCUUCGCAUGGGGGUUGGUGGAAAGGGUGUUUCUGGUGGGGGAUGGGCUCGCGGCCUAUCAGCUUGUUGGUGGGGUGAUGGCCUAACAAGGCUUUGACGGGUAGACGGCCUGAGAGGGUGACCGGUAACAUAGAGACGGAGAUAAGGCCUAGGCUAGUCCGGGAGGGGGAAGUGGGGAAAAUGGGCGAAUGCGUGAAAGACUGAUGCCGCGACGCUGAGGAAGGGCUGGGGGCCUUAGGGUUGUGUAACUAUGUAGGAAAUGGUCAAGCCGCAACAAUGGUUGUCGUGACGGUAGUGGGUAAAGAAGCGCCGGCUAACUACGUG
RNAcentral lists this ribosomal RNA (483 nucleotides) under uncultured bacterium. RNAcentral's name for it is "partial 16S ribosomal RNA". It matches the Rfam family "Bacterial small subunit ribosomal RNA", at positions 28 to 507 of the family's 1533-position model. The record is from RNAcentral.